Molecule: ribosomal RNA, 459 nt
Filed under: uncultured bacterium
Lineage: Bacteria
Description: partial 16S ribosomal RNA
Rfam family: Bacterial small subunit ribosomal RNA
Source: RNAcentral
CCUACGGGAGGCAGCAGUGAGGAAUAUUGGUCAAUGGUCGGGAGACUGAACCAGCCAAGCCGCGUGAGGGAUGAAGGUACAGAGUAUCGUAAACCUCUUUUGUCAGGGAACAAAGGCGGGGACGUGUCCCCGGAUGAGUGUACCUGAAGAAAAAGCAUCGGCUAACUCCGUGCCAGCAGCCGCGGUAAUACGGAGGAUGCGGGCGUUAUCCGGAUUUAUGGGGUUUAAAGGGUGCGCAGGCGGUCUGUUAAGUCAGCGGUCAAAGCCCGGGGCUCAACCCCGGCCCGCCGUUGAAACUGGCAGUCUCGAGUUGGAGAGAAGUAUGCGGAAGGCGCGGUGUAGCGGUGAAAUGCAUAGAUAUCGCGCAGAACUCCGAUUGCGAAGGCAGCAUGCCGGCUCCACACUGACGCUGAGGCUCGAAAGCGCGGGUAUCGAACAGGAUUAGAUACCCUUGUAGUC